Molecule: ribosomal RNA, 497 nt
Filed under: uncultured bacterium
Lineage: Bacteria
Description: partial 16S ribosomal RNA
Rfam family: Bacterial small subunit ribosomal RNA
Source: RNAcentral
GAUGAACGCUGGCGGCGUGCCUAAUACAUGCAAGUCGAGCGAACAGACGAGGAGCUUGCUCCUUCGACGUUAGCGGCGGACGGGUGAGUAACACGUAGGUAACCUACCUAUAAGACUGGGAUAACUUCGGGAAACCGGAGCUAAUACUGGAUAAUAUUUCGAACCGCAUGGUUCGAUAGUGAAAGAUGGCUUUGCUAUCACUUAUAGAUGGACCUGCGCCGUAUUAGCUAGUUGGUAAGGUAACGGCUUACCAAGGCAACGAUACGUAGCCGACCUGAGAGGGUGAUCGGCCACACUGGAACUGAGACACGGUCCAGACUCCUACGGGAGGCAGCAGUAGGGAAUCUUCCGCAAUGGGCGAAAGCCUGACGGAGCAACGCCGCGUGAGUGAUGAAGGUCUUCGGAUCGUAAAACUCUGUUAUUAGGGAAGAACAAACGUGUAAGUAACUGUGCACGUCUUGACGGUACCUAAUCAGAAAGCCACGGCUAACUACGUG